GAUGAACGCUGGCGGCGUGCCUAAUACAUGCAAGUGGAGCGAACAGACGAGGAGCUUGCUCCUCUGACGUUAGCGGCGGACGGGUGAGUAACACGUGGAUAACCUACCUAUAAGACUGGGAUAACUUCGGGAAACCGGAGCUAAUACCGGAUAAUAUAUUGAACCGCAUGGUUCAAUAGUGAAAGACGGUUUUGCUGUCACUUAUAGAUGGAUCCGCGCCGCAUUAGCUAGUUGGUAAGGUAACGGCUUACCAAGGCAACGAUGCGUAGCCGACCUGAGAGGGUGAUCGGCCACACUGGAACUGAGACACGGUCCAGACUCCUACGGGAGGCAGCAGUAGGGAAUCUUCCGCAAUGGGCGAAAGCCUGACGGAGCAACGCCGCGUGAGUGAUGAAGGUCUUCGGAUCGUAAAACUCUGUUAUUAGGGAAGAACAAAUGUGUAAGUAACUAUGCACGUCUUGACGGUACCUAAGCAGAAAGCCACGGCUAACUACGU
Molecule: ribosomal RNA, 496 nt
Filed under: uncultured bacterium
Lineage: Bacteria
Description: partial 16S ribosomal RNA
Rfam family: Bacterial small subunit ribosomal RNA
Source: RNAcentral